AGUGAACGCUGGCGGUAGGCCUAACACAUGCAAGUCGAACGGCCGCACAGUAAGCUCUUGUUCUUACGGUUGGCGAGUGGCGGAGGGGUGAGGAAUACAUCGGCAUCUAAUUUUUCGUGGGGGAUAACGUAGGGAAACUUACGCUAAUACCGCAUACGACCUACGGGUGAAAUCAGGGGAGCUUCGGACUUUUCGCGAUUGUAUGAGCCGAUGUCGGAUUAGAUAGUUGGCGUGGUAAAGGCCCACCAAAGCGACGAUCCGUAGCUGGUCUGAGAGGAUGAUCAGCCACACUGGAACUGAGACACGGUCCAGACUCCUACGGGAGGCAGCAGUGGGGAAUAUUGGACAAUGGGCGCAAGCCUGAUCCAGCCAUACCGCGUGGGUGAAGAAGGCCUUCGGGUUGUAAAGCCCUUUUGUUGGGAAAGAAAAGCAGCAGGAUAAUACCCCGCUGUUCUGACGGUACCCAAAGAAUAAGCACCGGCUAACUUCGUG
Molecule: ribosomal RNA, 492 nt
Filed under: uncultured bacterium
Lineage: Bacteria
Description: partial 16S ribosomal RNA
Rfam family: Bacterial small subunit ribosomal RNA
Source: RNAcentral